GACUCGGCGCCGGCUUCCGGCGCCGUAAGAGAAGCGUCCGCGCGGGCGUUCUGGACCCGCAGAGUUCUCGGCGUUUCCGAAGCUCUUGGUGUGGCCGGGACCCGGGAGAAGGAGCAGGGCUGGUGGGGCUGCUGCAGCCGGAAAUAAUCAUGGUGCUCAACAGUUUGGAUAAGAUGAUUCAACUCCAGAAAAACACUGCCAACAUCAGGAAUAUUUGUGUUUUGGCUCAUGUUGACCGUGGAAAAACUACUCUGGCUGACUGUCUUAUAUCUAGCAAUGGAAUCAUCUCCAGCCACCUAGCAGGCAAGUUAAGGUACAUGGACAGCAGAGAAGAUGAACAGAUCCGAGGGAUCACUAUGAAAUCCAGUGCCAUUUCCCUACAUUAUGCAACAGGUAAUGAGGAGUACCUGAUUAAUCUGAUAGACUCUCCAGGACACAUGGACUUUUCCUCAGACGUAUCAACCGCUGUUCGCAUUUGUGAUGGAUGCAUCAUUGUGGUAGAUGCUGUGGAAGGAGUCUGUCCACAGCCCAGAGAAUGGAGAGACUGAUGUGCACAGGAUCACAAACUUUUGACUCUCUUCCACCAGAAACUCAAGCACUGAAAGCAGCUUUUAUGAAAUGUGGAAGUGAGGACACUGCUCCAGUUAUCAUGUUUGUUUCCAAAAUGUUUGCAGUUGAUGCUAAGGCCUUGCCUCAGAAUAAGCCAAGGCCUCUCACUCAAGAAGAAAUUGCUCAGAGACGUGAGCGUGCAAGACAAAGGCAUGCAGAGAAGCUUGCAGCAGCGCAGGGACAGGCACCCUUGGAGCCCACCCAAGAUGGGAGUGCCAUUGAAACAUGUCCAAAAGGAGAGGAGCCAAGAGGUGACGAGCAACAGGUGGAAAGUAUGACCCCCAAACCUGUGCUCCAGGAAGAAAACAACCAAGAGUCUUCUAUUGCAUUUGCUCGGGUGUUCAGUGGUGUGGCUCGAAGAGGAAAGAAAAUUUUUGUCUUGGGGCCCAAAUACAGUCCUCUUGAGUUUUUACGAAGGGUACCAUUAGGCUUCUCAGCUCCACCAGAUGGCCUCCCCCAAGUCCCCCACAUGGCAUACUGUGCUCUGGAAAACCUGUAUCUUCUGAUGGGAAGGGAACUGGAAUAUCUAGAGGAGGUACCUCCAGGAAAUGUGCUAGG
This is an RNA transcript of Homo sapiens (human), 1167 nucleotides long. It is a transcript of the gene named elongation factor like GTPase 1 pseudogene 1, with no coding region annotated. NCBI's taxonomy places the organism in Eukaryota, Metazoa, Chordata, Mammalia, Primates, Hominidae. The record is from RefSeq and is marked validated. The transcript has 10 exons.